Molecule: ribosomal RNA, 875 nt
Filed under: uncultured marine group I thaumarchaeote
Lineage: Archaea; Thermoproteati; Nitrososphaerota
Description: bacterial SSU rRNA
Rfam family: Archaeal small subunit ribosomal RNA
Source: RNAcentral
CCUGACUGCUAUCGGAUUGAUACUAAGCCAUGCGAGUCAUUGUAGUAAUACAAGGCAGACGGCUCAGUAACGCGUAGUCAACCUACCCUAUGGACGGGAAUAACCUCGGGAAACUGAGAAUAAUGCCCGAUAGAACAUUAUACCUGGAAUGGUUUAUGUUCCAAAUGAUUUAUCGCCAUAGGAUGGGACUGCGGCCUAUCAGUUUGUUGGUGAGGUAAUGGCCCACCAAGACUAUUACAGGUACGGGCUCUGAGAGGAGUGGCCCGGAGAUGGGUACUGAGACACGGACCCAGGCCCUAUGGGGCGCAGCAGGCGAGAAAACUUUGCAAUGUGCGAAAGCACGACAAGGUUAAUCCGAGUGGUUUCUGCUAAAGGAACCUUUUGUCAGUCCUAAAAACACCGAUGAAUAAGGGGUGGGCAAGUUCUGGUGUCAGCCGCCGCGGUAAAACCAGCACCUCAAGUUGUCAGGAUGAUUAUUGGGCCUAAAGCAUCCGUAGCCGGCUCUGUUAGUUUUCGGUUAAAUCUGUACGCUUAACGUACAGGCUGCCGGGAAUACUGCAGAACUAGGGAGUGGGAGAGGUAGACGGUACUCGGUAGGAAGGGGUAAAAUCCUUUGAUCUAUUGAUGACCACCUGUGGCGAAGGCGGUCUACCAGAACACGUCCGACGGUGAGGGAUGAAAGCUGGGGGAGCAAACCGGAUUAGAUACCCGGGUAGUCCCAGCUGUAAACUAUGCAAACUCAGUGAUGCAUUGGCUUGUGGCCAAUGCAGUGCUGCAGGGAAGCCGUUAAGUUUGCCGCCUGGGAAGUACGUACGCAAGUAUGAAACUUAAAGGAAUUGGCGGGGGAGCACCACAAGGGGUGAAGCCUGCGGUUC